GCCGUGGCUCAGCGGUAGGGCAUCUGCUUUGCACCCAGAAGGUCCCAGGUUCAGCCCCCUGACAUCUGCA
Molecule: non-coding RNA, 70 nt
Organism: Podarcis lilfordi (Lilford's wall lizard)
Lineage: Eukaryota; Metazoa; Chordata; Lepidosauria; Squamata; Lacertidae
Source: the annotation of a GenBank genome assembly